UGGGAAGACAAGGAAAGAAGUCCACUGG
Molecule: non-coding RNA, 28 nt
Filed under: Rattus norvegicus (Norway rat)
Lineage: Eukaryota; Metazoa; Chordata; Mammalia; Rodentia; Muridae
Source: RNAcentral